ACAAGCUGAUUUUAAGGUGUGGGGGAAUGUGUGCUUCUAAGCAACCCGCUGCGUCUGGUUUUCAGAAACACACUCAAGUAUAUGCAAUAUGCAUGCAUGCAGAGGAUUGAUACCCACACACAGAAGCACAUGCAUGCCCAAUGCAGGAACAGUCACACACACAUACACACACACACACACACACACACACACACACACACACACACAUACACACACACACGCACCUCAGAUACUCAUGUGAAGACAGAAUCACACCCACAUUCUCCAAGUGUGCACACUCCAUCAACCCACCUUGUUAGAGCCGUUGCUCAGAUAGGGGAGCUGGCCGAAUGUCAGGUGGGUGGCUUUUCGAGAAGAACGGAUAACAAGCUGAAGUUUGGAGGAACAGACUGCCAAGAAAGUAAACAAAGGGAGAGGCAGAGAGGAGAGCAGCAUGGCAAGGCUUGAACCCACGCCAGGUGCAGUCCUCAAGUGAAAGGGAUAAUCAGCCUGCUGGGUGUUGAUUGGCCAACACUGAAGACCAAGAGCCAGAAACUGCGGUAACUCACAUCGCAACCACCACUUUGUGAGAGGGAGAAUAAAUGGUAUCGUUUUUGACAGUUUUUGCUGUUUCAAACGUUCCACUGAGCCUCGCUUUUAAGGCCCCUCUACAAGCAAGUACCAUCAGCAGAGACUCACAGCACAACACUGGGUUAGAACUUCACACUUACUCUUGCACUCAGCAAGUCAUAUACUGUUUCCCUGAAAAACCUACAAGCUCUUUAAACACAACCGAUGUCUUCAUUCCAACCUCGGCAGAGGCAAUAUGCAGGCAUCGGCAUGUUCAUUGAAAGUUGCCCCCGCCGCCGAGUUACACUUUCCCCAUAAACUCAAGACCAGUUCUCUGAAAUCACAGUGUCUCUCUCAAUCUAUGUAGAGUUGAGACAAAACCUAACAGUGUAAUUUGUCUUAUUUUUGACUAAAUAUUUCAUGAUCGUUAAGUGCAAGUGGAGUCAACCUGCUGAGGAGAGCAAUGAAGUCAGCAGACCAUGAUAGGCUCAAAAGCCGUGUGAGAAAAGAAUUUACAGGGCCACAUCUCCACAUUACUAAGUGAUUGGAUGGCUUAAAUGUGACGAGCUCACCCAGUGCCCUUCUAGGAAAAGGUACUUUGGGGAGGUACUUGUUUGGGUUUCCCCCAGAAAUAGACCCCUAAAACAAGAGUUUCAGCAAAAAAAUUCUUUCUUUCUGCACAGUGCCAGAAAGUAGAGAUGAAGAGAAGGCAGCCGUGAUGGGUAGGUGCAUUUUCAAACAAGUGACCACUGAGGCAGCUGGAACUUAACCCCACUAGGACAAUCUGAGAGAUAAUAUAGACUAAAUGAGACAGAGUACCAGAGGCAUCUAACCUGGCAUAGGACCUCUGGGGACUGGGGAGGUGGGGAGUCAACACAACUCCAGCAGUUAUUGGUUUAGGGCUGGUCCCAGGAGAUAGUUAGGCUGCCUCCCCAGGCUGGAGGACAGCCCUCAUGUGUGUAUAGACAGUCCCUCUCCAGGCACAUGUGGGUGUUGGGCCCAAGAGAUAUGUGACAGCACCUGCUACCAGUGUACGCUUGGAAAUCUCUUAAAGAUUAAACAGAAAUGUUCUAUACUGUGGGAGCAAACUCCUCCUCUUUACUAAUUUAUUUUCAAUAAGAAGUGAGAAUUCUACCCGAAGCUGUUCAGCAAAAUUUCUUCAUACUCAAACCAGGCAAAAAUGUUUCCCAAAGCAAAGUUCUUUUCAUAGCUUGGUUAUUCCAAAUAGUCAGAAAAGAGAGAGAGUGCAUGUGCUGGUAGUUCAGGGCUCUUUGGCACUAAACUAAGAAUUAAAAUACUUUGAAAACUGCAAAUCAAUAUAUAAAUGUAAGUCUUUAGUGUUAAUUUGAUUCAACAAAUCCACACUGAGUCUGUUGAGUGGAGAGCAAAGGAUAAUAACAGCCACUUCUGUGAUUAUUCUAUUGUUCAAAGGUUGAAUUGAAUCUCAGGGUCUGGUCCCAUUUGUAAGUGCUCACUAUUCCAAAUAAUUAAAGUUCUUUUUUUUUUUCCCAAUCGCAAUAACCAUAAAAUGAGUACUGGCCAAGAGACUACUUUUGAUCAGGUCAGAGCUUCAUUUCCCUGCCUCACCUAGGCCACAGUCUGAACAGUUCCUCUAGCUCGGGAUGGGGGAAGAGAGGCCAGGAGGGUGCAGGCACUUGCCUAGGAAGGGUGCAGUCAGGGAGUAUCUUACAGCAAGGCUUAGGAACAAGCAGAUAGGGAAGUGACUCUGCUCUGUAGCUCUUAGCCUGUGAUAAUUCCAGACUUGUAUCUGUAGCACGGGUCCAAGACUGAAGCUGUGCUAAGUCUGUAGCUGAAGGAGUACUUUUUUAGGAAUGUGUGGUGUGUGGAAGAGGUGGCAGUUUGAAGAGCUUGGGAGCAGGUAGGGCAGAAUCUCAUCUUUGCUUCGUAGGCCUGCUUUGUUGAAGCCACAAGUCACACAUGGCUGGUGGGCCUGUAAAAUUCAAAGAGGCUAUUCCGGAGUUUUCUCAGGGAUAUGUGUUGAGACAAAGAUUUGACGAUAUCUGUGAAUUCCAAUGGAGGAUGCACAGACUUUUUUUUCAUUAUUCCCUAAACAACAAGCUGUUAGAUAACAACUGCAGCAUUCAUAUUGUAUUAAUUACUAUAAAACACAUAGAAAUGGGCUCAGGUGUGUCCCAUCUAUGGUCUCUCAUCUGUAUGUGGCCCCGGACGGCUAUGAAUGUGACUCAAUACAAAAUAGUAAACUUACUUAAAAUAUUAAGAGAUCUCUUUCAUUCUUUUUUGCAACUCAAUUGUAAAUUCUCAAGCUUGAACUUAGUAAAGGAUAAUAUAUCUAAAGGUAAAAAAGUUGGCCACACCUGGCAGGAGGUUGGAUCUAGGUUGGAUGUAAGUACCACACUGGUAUGUAAGGGGCUGGCACAUCAGUGGAUGGCUUCCCUAUCUUGGAGUGGGGCUCUGCCCCCUAGGAAUACCAGGCUAGACUUCAUCUAGGAGGACAUCCCAAGGAGCCCUAAAAGGGUAAGGUGAAGAGACAGCAAAAAGAAAGGGCAGCCAAGGAAGGCUUCUAUGGAAAGAAUUGCCAGAGGGCAAGGGCCCUUAAUUCCACUAAGGAGUUCUGAGAAGCGCUGCAGGCAGAGCCGGACUUAGCCUUUACCCAGCAGUACCUGUCAAUCACUGGCUACAGUGGUACCUGUCAAUCACUGCCGAGAGCUACUACCCAAGAACAGCACUGGAGAGGAGAGGAAGGGCUUUGUUCCUGGAUCUUCUGGCCUGCCCUCCAGUGGAGCAGAAUGAGGUCCAAUAAAUGAGGGUUUUCCCAAAACCUGAGUAUUCAGAUGAUUGUGUUUCUACCAGUCUGCAAAGGUGGGGUUCUAACAGUGUGGUGAUUGUAGGAACCGAGUCAAACCUGAGCAUCAUUCUGAGUCCCCACUUCCUAAUUGUGUAACCUUAGACUUGGAACCUCCGUUUCUUUGUUAGUGAAAAGGGGCACAGCAGGAGUCCAACCGGGUUUGCUGACACCGUCAGGCAUUAUUGAGAUAAUAUGUGUAUCAGGACUGACACAUAAUAGACACUCAGUAAUCUUUCGUUUUCUUCUCGAAAGAGCUGAGGCUAUAGCUCCGCGCAAGUCAGUUAUGCUGAUGGAGAAGCGGUUCAGGAGGGUGUAGCAGGAAUCUUAGAGAGUCUUAUUAAUAAAAUCAAACCUGAGGCCAGUUAUUGGGGUAAAUGCUGGAAGGUCAGAGUACCAGAACAAGCCACAGCUAACCUCACCUGGCCAACUUCUCAGCUGGUCUUGUUUCCUCAGACUGGAAGCUUCUGUGUCCUCAUAUCUGAAUGGCUCUCAGCUGAACUGCUGCUAGAAGCCUGAAAGCUUAACCAGCCAAAAUGCUUAACCAGCCAAAUGCUUCUAGUUUCUGGUCCUCACACCUUAUAAACCUUUCUGCUUUCUACCACCACUCCCUGGGAUUAAAGACUCGCUUUCAGGGAUUAAAGGCGUGAGUCACCAUGCCUGGCCUUUCCAAUGUGGCCUUGAACUCACAGAGAUCCAAAAGGAUUUCUGUCUCUGGAAUGCUAGGAUUAAAGGUGUGAGUGCCACCAUUUUCUAGCCUUUGUAUCUAGUGGCUGUCUGUUCUCUGACCCCAGAUAAGUUUAUUAAGGUACACAAUAUUUUGGGGAACACAGUACCACCACAGGAGGGACUCAGGAAACAAGUACAAUUGCUCAGCCCGAUUCCUAAUGAGCUCGGAGUGAUCCGAAGGAAAGAAAAGGUCAGCUGACCCCAGUUAAGUUUAAGAUUGUGAGGCUAGGAAAGUUAAGAGCAAAGAAUGGAGAAGACCAAAAAUAAUCUCAAAGAUUCUUAGAAUUCCCAUCCAAGCAAAGUGAAAGGAAGGAGAAAGGGAAGCACCACUGUUUAUGGCCAAGGAUGGAAUGAAGAAGGGUGCCCCUAGAAAGAGAAUUCCUGAUCACUUCUCUGCUGCAGAUCUUUCAACUAGGAAGAUAUGCAUGGGUCAUUGGAGAGUUGGGCUGGUCCCUAAGGUAGGCAAAGGGACUGUAAAGCAAUCCUCUUCUCCAAAAGAGGUGUUGGUGUUUUUUACUCUUUUGGGGGGCCUGCCACCCAGCUCCCAAAUAAAUCACACACAGAGGCUUAUUAUUAAUUAUGAAUGCCUGGCCUCAGCUUGGCUUGUUUCUCACCAGCUUUUCUUAACUUAAAAUUAUCCCAUUUACCUUUUGCCUCUGGGAUUUUACCUUUCUUUAUUUCUGAAUAACUUUAUUUCUUACUCUGUUGCUGUUUGUGCAGCUGGAUGCCUGGUCCCUAGAGUCCUCCUCCUUCUCUAGCUACUUCUUUUUGUCUCACAGAUUUCUCCUUCUAUAUAUUCUCUCUGCCUGCCAGCCCCUCCUAUCCUUUCUCCUGCCUCACUAUUGGCCAUUCAGUUUUUUAUUAGACCAUCAGGUGUUUUAGACAGGCAUAGUAACACAGCUUCACAGUGUUAAACAAAUGCAACAUAAACAAAAGUAACACACCUUAAAAUAAUAUUCUACAACAAAGAGGUUUCCUCUAGGCAGGGAAAUAAUGCCUCCUAGUCUUAAGUGACCACAGAAAGCACACAAGAAUGUUGGCUGCUUCUUGCACUCUGGUCUCCAUCAUUCACCCUGCAAAUGGGACUCAGCCUUUGGGUAGAUCCAUGAUCGUAUGUAAAGAUCUGCCAAGAUGCAUGUAUUCUUCCUUGAACUUUUUCUUGAAUUCUUUCUAUUUAUUUUAUUGUCUUUUUGUUUAUUUAUUUGCUUUGACUUCCUUUUGGUGCUAGGAAUCAAAUCCAAUGCCUUGUAUGUGUUAGAAAAGUCCUCUGCCAAUAAGCUAUGUGCCAGCGCACACAGGAACUGUUGAGUGAAGCCAGGGGGAAGAUUCAGUUGACUGCAAUUCCAUCUUCUUCCUGAGACCCCCGACUCAAAACCCCCUUUAAAGAGGGUGAAAUAUACACCCUGACUUUGGAUUGAGCCUUGUGAUUUGUUUAGAGCAACAUUACACAUGAUCUACCCACACGUUUAUGAUUUUACUCUCCAUGGUUUCAGUAACCCAUGGCCAACAGCAAUCUGAAACUACUAAAAGAAAUAUUUCAAAAAUACACAACUUUCAAAUAGUGUGGUGAAAUUUGGUACCAUCCUACCCAGGACAUAAAGCAUCCCAUUGCUCAGUGCAUCCACACCAUAUACACUACCACCCAUUAGUCACAUUUAGCAGCUUAUCAGAUUGAUUGUAGCAGAGCCACACUGCUUAUGGGGAAGUAACUCUCAUGUAAUUAUUUAAUGCUGGGCCACAAUGUCUAUAUCCUUCUUCCAUUUUUCCUCAUUGCACAGACAUUGUGACAUCUCCAGUCAUCAUAAGAAGAGCUUGCCCAGGCUAGCCCACUGAAUUGGAAAGAAGAGGAGAGACACUGGAAGAAGAGCUGCCUCUGUUGCCAUGGUCAGAAGCUCCAACACCCAAAUUGUCCACAGAACCACAGUAAGAAACAGAGCUGCAUACAGGAACCCAACACCUGUCAAAUGCCAGCUGAGCACAAGCAUACAAGGCACCCAGGAACAGUAAAGGUGCCCAGGCUAGACUGCUGAUAUUCCCCCACCAACCUGCAAACUCCUGAGCUGCAUAAAUGUAUAAUGGUAUAUGUCAAUGACACAUCACUGUUUGUAUAUAGUAACUGUUACACUUACCCAUGCAAGACUCCUCAAGCCUCACAUAUUACAUGAUGCCCAUCCAACAUAAAGAGAACAUGCAAGUUCUUCUGGCUUAUGAAAGGCUCACAGCCUUUUAUUGGUCAAUUUCUCAUUGCUGUGAAAAGCUACUUAGGGGAGGAAGGACUUACUUGGCUCGCAGUUCCAGGGAAUGUGGUCCAUCACAGUAAGCAGGGCACUAGAAGCAGCUCCCAGCCAGAACCCUGGAAGCAUCAGGUGAUUGCUUAUUACAUGGCUGACCAGGAAGCAGAGCACAGCUGGAACUGGGGCCCAGAUACACUGGAUGUAAGUCCAGUCCUAUGAUCACAUCUGUAAUUCCAGUCCUAUAGGAUCCAAGGCUCUCUUUUACCCUUUGUGGACACCAAGUACAUACAUGGUGCAGAGACAUACAUGCAAGUAAAACAUUCAUGUAUCUGAAAAGAAAUGAGAACAUUUUAACUUAAAAAAAAUUAAAUCUUUAAACAGUACACUGCUGAGUAUCCAUGGUUUCCUCUUGUGACCUUGAGGCUGGCAUCAUCAUAGGGGAACCCACUGCAUAUUACUAGCUCACCCCCCCAAAAAAAUGCCCAGUCAUUGCAUAUUGCCUUACUCACUCAUAGGGUUGAAAAUGUUAAUCAAACCAUCAUAAGUCAGGGGCUGUCUAAGAGAUUUCUUGGCAACUCUAGGCCAAAGCAAAUAUUAAGGUUUGGGUCUCACAGUGUAUGUUUCUUUAGACACUCUCCAAGACUCUGGUCGUUAGCCUGGUCAUUUAUUUUGGCAUAUUUCACUCAUCCUUUCAACAAUGCCAUUUACCUAAAAUGUAUGACUACAUCUCAAUUAGAUUGUCAGCUUUCUGUACAUGUAGUUUGCACAUAUUUGUAGCUCUCUUAAUACUUAGCAUUGUUGUUAUCAGGCAUCUAAUAAAUAUUUACAUAGUGCUGAA
Peromyscus californicus insignis is the source of this 7174-nucleotide long non-coding RNA. RefSeq lists it as uncharacterized. Lineage: Eukaryota; Metazoa; Chordata; Mammalia; Rodentia; Cricetidae. The record is from RefSeq and is a predicted model, not a curated record. The transcript is spliced from 2 exons.